CCUACGGGGGGCAGCAGUGAGGAAUAUUGGUCAAUGGACGAGAGUCUGAACCAGCCAAGUAGCGUGAAGGAUGACUGCCCUAUGGGUUGUAAACUUCUUUUAUAUGGGAAUAAAAUGUUCCACGUGUGGGAUUUUGUAUGUACCAUAUGAAUAAGGAUCGGCUAACUCCGUGCCAGCAGCCGCGGUAAUACGGAGGAUCCGAGCGUUAUCCGGAUUUAUUGGGUUUAAAGGGAGCGUAGGUGGAUUGUUAAGUCAGUUGUGAAAGUUUGCGGCUCAACCGUAAAAUUGCAGUUGAAACUGGCAGUCUUGAGUACAGUAGAGGUGGGCGGAAUUCGUGGUGUAGCGGUGAAAUGCUUAGAUAUCACGAAGAACUCCUAUUGCGAAGGCAGUUCACUGGACUGCAACUGACACUGAGGCUCGAAAGUGUGGGUAUCAAACAGGAUUAGAUACCCGAGUAGUC
This 460-nucleotide ribosomal RNA is filed under the name uncultured bacterium. RNAcentral's name for it is "partial 16S ribosomal RNA". It matches the Rfam family "Bacterial small subunit ribosomal RNA", at positions 338 to 795 of the family's 1533-position model. The record is from RNAcentral.